Oncorhynchus masou masou (cherry salmon) is the source of this 1604-nucleotide long non-coding RNA. RefSeq lists it as uncharacterized. The transcript is spliced from 2 exons. NCBI's taxonomy places the organism in Eukaryota, Metazoa, Chordata, Actinopteri, Salmoniformes, Salmonidae. The record is from RefSeq and is a predicted model, not a curated record.
CUUCCUCAAAAUAAUAAGAAUGAAUCUAAGCUAACUCAAGAAAUCCGUCAUUGACGUUUUUUUGGGCAGAGGAGAUCCUAGUCCCGCAAUUUUAGAAAAAAAAACGGCCCAAAAUGUCAUCAUAAUAUACAUGAACCGUCCGUAGUGUUUGGGAAGGGAAGCACACGCCUUUACAGUUCAACUAAGGAACAGCCGAUUGGGAUCCCCGUGAAGAGAAAAAGGGGCAAAAGCACAGGAAAAUAAAAUAGAUGACCGGAAGAUUAAAACUACCAACGGGACAUUCAAAACUGUAAUAUCUCAUGUGUCACGGUGUCGUGGCUGAACGACGACACGAUCAGCAUACAGCUGGCUGGUUAUACGAUGUACCGGCAGGAUAGAACAGCGGCGUCUGGUAAGACAAGGGCGACGGACUACGAAUUUUUGUAAAUAACAGCUGGUGCACGAUAUUGAAGUCUCGAGCUAUUGCUCGCCUGAUGUAGAGUAUCUCAUGAUAAGCUGUAGACCACACUACCUACCUAGAGAGUUUAUCUGUAUUUUUCACACAGAUGAUGCAAUCUCUAUUACACUCUACACUCCUCAGGGGUGCGUCCCCUCCUGUACUCCCUGUUACUUCACCACGGCCAGGCACGACUCCAACACCAUCAUUAAGUUUGUCGAUGAUCAACGAUGAGACAGCCUAUAGGGAGGAGGUCAGAGACCUGGCCGUGUGGUGCAAAGACAACAACCCCUCCCUCAACAUGAUCAAGACAAAGGAGAUGAUUGUGGACUACAGGAAAAAUAUGACUGAGCACUCCCCCAUUCUAAUCGACGUGGAGCUUCAAGUUCCUUAGUGUCCACAUCACCAACAAACUAACAUGGUCCAAACACACCAAGACAAUCGUGAAGAGGACACGACAAAACCUAUUCCCCCUCAGGAGACUGAAAAGAUUUGGCAUGGGUCCUGGGAUCCUCAAAAGGUUCUACAGCUACACCAUUGAGAGCAUCCUGACUGGUUGCAUCACCGCCUGGUAUGGAAACUGCUCGGCAUCCGACCACAAGGCACUACAGAGGGUAGUGCAUACGGCCCAGUACAUCACUGGGGCCAAGCUUCCUGCCAUCUUGGACCUCUAUACCAGGCGGUGUCAGAGGAAGGCCAUAAAAAUUGUCAAAGACUCCAGCCAUCCUAGUCAUAGACUGUUCUCUCUGCUACCGCACGGCAAGCGGUACUGAAGCGCCAAGUCUGGGUCCAAGAGGCCUCUAUAAACAGAUUCUACCCCCAAGCCAUAAGACUCCUGAACAUCUAAUCAAAUGGCCACCCAGACUAUUUGCAUUGACCCCCCACACCUCUUUUACACCACUGCUACUCUGUUAUUAUCUAUGCAUAGUCACAUUACCUCUAGCUACAUGUACAUAUUACCUCAACUAACCGGUGCACCCGCACAUAGACUCUGUAUCAGUACCCCCCUGUAUAUAGUCUCACUAUUGCCAUUUUACUGCUGCUCUUUAAUUACUUGUUACUUUUAUUUCUUAUUCAGACUUUUUUAAACUGCGAUGUUGGGCUCGUAAGUAAGCAUUUCACUGUAAUACCGGUUGUAUGUGGCCUAAUAAAAUGUGGUUUGAUUUGA